CCCGUUAUCGCAUGCUAGAACCAAUCGUGCGCUGUAAGUGAAUCAGAAGGAAUGAGUGAAGCUGCCAGAAAUGUGUGGUCUGUGUGCUUGAGAUUGCCAAGAAACCUCGCAGCUUAUGGUGUUUGUGUGCAGUUGUGAAAAACAAGGAAAAACAAAGAGAAAUCUGUAGAAAUACGUUUGCCGCAGUAGUGUGUGCAGCUUUUAGCUGUUAUCAUAGACGCUGUGUGUGUGCACGUGUGCAUGUGUGAGAGUAUCUGUGCCACUGACAUGCUUAAUUUGAGCCCUCCUUCUCCAUUUUAAUUAGUCUUCAUAGCCCGAGUGACCUAAAACCUGUGGCCACAAAGCAGUUGUCAAAACAGCAUUUCUCAACACUGCGGUUUUCGGGAUAAAUCCCAGCAGUCAGUUCAUUCUCAGUCUGGAGGAGGCCUCGCACACAUUAUCAGUCUACAGCUGCCUAAGGAGCAAGGUCUCCAGUGAGGAAAGGAAUUCAUAAUCCACAGCUUUUAUGAAUGUUUUCUUAAGAUUAAAGCAAUAUUGGUGAAAGCUCAGUCAA
Oreochromis niloticus (Nile tilapia) is the source of this 553-nucleotide long non-coding RNA. RefSeq lists it as uncharacterized. Lineage: Eukaryota; Metazoa; Chordata; Actinopteri; Cichliformes; Cichlidae. The transcript has 2 exons. The record is from RefSeq and is a predicted model, not a curated record.